This 253-nucleotide ribosomal RNA is filed under the name uncultured bacterium. RNAcentral's name for it is "partial 16S ribosomal RNA". It matches the Rfam family "Bacterial small subunit ribosomal RNA", at positions 524 to 776 of the family's 1533-position model. The record is from RNAcentral.
UACGGAGGAUCCGAGCGUUAUCCGGAUUUAUUGGGUUUAAAGGGUGCGUAGGCGGCUUAUUAAGUCAGGGGUGAAAGACGGUAGCUUAACUAUCGCAGUGCCUUUGAUACUGAUGAGCUUGAAUAUACUUGAGGUAGGCGGAAUGUGACAAGUAGCGGUGAAAUGCAUAGAUAUGUCACAGAACACCGAUUGCGAAGGCAGCUUACUAAAGUAUGAUUGACGCUGAGGCACGAAAGCGUGGGGAUCAAACAGG